This 386-nucleotide ribosomal RNA is filed under the name uncultured bacterium. RNAcentral's name for it is "bacterial SSU rRNA". It matches the Rfam family "Bacterial small subunit ribosomal RNA", at positions 29 to 417 of the family's 1533-position model. The record is from RNAcentral.
AUUGAACGCUGGCGGCAUGCCUUACACAUGCAAGUCGAACGGCAGCACGGGAGCAAUCCUGGUGGCGAGUGGCGAACGGGUGAGUAAUAUAUCGGAACGUGCCCAGUGAUGGGGGAUAGCCCGGCGAAAGCCGGAUUAAUACCGCAUACGACCUACGGGUGAAAGCAGGGGAUCGCAAGACCUUGCGUCAUUGGAGCGGCCGAUAUCAGAUUAGCUGUUGGUGGGGUAAAAGCCUACCAAGGCGACGAUCUGUAGCUGGUCUGAGAGGACGACCAGCCACACUGGGACUGAGACACGGCCCAGACUCCUACGGGAGGCAGCAGUGGGGAACUUUGGACAAUGGGCGCAAGCCUGAUCCAGCCAUGCCGCGUGCGGGAAGAAGGCCU